Molecule: unclassified non-coding RNA, 172 nt
Filed under: uncultured Talaromyces
Lineage: Eukaryota; Fungi; Ascomycota; Eurotiomycetes; Eurotiales; Trichocomaceae
Description: sequence contains ITS2
Source: RNAcentral
CUGCCCUCCAGCGCGGCUGGGUCUUGGGUGCUGUCCCUCACGGGACACGCCCGAAAGGCAGUGGCGGCGCCGCGUCGGUCCUCGAGCGUAUGGAGCAUUGUCACCGGCUCGGGAGGGACCUGCGGACGUCAGUCUUCCACCGAUUGGCCUCUCCGGGGGCUGGUCACCUAAC